Molecule: transfer RNA, 73 nt
Filed under: Nonomuraea corallina
Lineage: Bacteria; Bacillati; Actinomycetota; Actinomycetes; Streptosporangiales; Streptosporangiaceae
Also listed under: 1 other name
Description: tRNA-Leu
Rfam family: tRNA
About the family: Transfer RNA (tRNA) molecules are approximately 80 nucleotides in length. Their secondary structure includes four short double-helical elements and three loops (D, anti-codon, and T loops). Further hydrogen bonds mediate the characteristic L-shaped molecular structure. tRNAs have two regions of fundamental functional importance: the anti-codon, which is responsible for specific mRNA codon recognition, and the 3' end, to which the tRNAs corresponding amino acid is attached (by aminoacyl-tRNA synthetases). tRNAs cope with the degeneracy of the genetic code in two manners: having more than one tRNA (with a specific anti-codon) for a particular amino acid; and 'wobble' base-pairing, i.e. permitting non-standard base-pairing at the 3rd anti-codon position.
Source: RNAcentral
GGGGCCGUAGCCCAAUGGCAGAGGCACAGCUUUUAGGUAGCUGACAGUGUGGGUUCGAAUCCCACCGGCCCCA